This 496-nucleotide ribosomal RNA is filed under the name uncultured bacterium. Its description in RNAcentral is "partial 16S ribosomal RNA". It matches the Rfam family "Bacterial small subunit ribosomal RNA", at positions 29 to 507 of the family's 1533-position model. The record is from RNAcentral.
AUGAACGCUGGCGGCGUGCCUAAUACAUGCAAGUCGAGCGAACGGACGAGAAGCUUGCUUCUCUGAUGUUAGCGGCGGACGGGUGAGUAACACGUGGAUAACCUACCUAUAAGACUGGGAUAACUUCGGGAAACCGGAGCUAAUACCGGAUGAUAUUUUGAACCGCAUGGUUCAAAAGUGAAAGACGGUCUUGCUGUCACUUAUAGAUGGAUCCGCGCUGCAUUAGCUAGUUGGUAAGGUAACGGCUUACCAAGGCAACGAUGCAUAGCCGACCUGAGAGGGUGAUCGGCCACACUGGAACUGAGACACGGUCCAGACUCCUACGGGAGGCAGCAGUAGGGAAUCUUCCGCAAUGGGCGAAAGCCUGACGGAGCAACGCCGCGUGAGUGAUGAAGGUCUUCGGAUCGUAAAACUCUGUUAUUAGGGAAGAACAUAUGUGUAAGUAACUGUGCGCAUCUUGACGGUACCUAAUCAGAAAGCCACGGCUAACUACGUG